CUUGUUGGCCUUUUCAUGUUAGCCGACUUUCACUCUCUUAUUGAGUGUUGGGGAGCUCUAACAAACCCUUCGGCACGGUCCGUGCCAAGGAAACUUAAGAAUGUAAUCGUGGCUGCAACUUUAUGUGCCCACGAUGACUAUUGUAUCAUUCAAUGAUAAUUUGAUGACUCUCGGCAACGGAUAUCUUGGUCCUCGCAUCGAUGAAGAACGUAGCGAAAUGCGAUACUUGGUGUGAAUUGCAGAAUCCCGUGAACCAUCGAGUUUUUGAACGCAAGUUGCGCCCAAAGCUUUCGGGCCAAGGGCUAGCCUGCGUGGGCGUCAUGUAAUGUUACUCGCACUCUCAUUGUGCCAGCCUUUGGUUGACACUAUGUUUGGUGAGUGUAAAUUGACCUUCCAUUCUUCUUUAAGGAAUGGUAGGUUUAAGUGAAAGGCAUUCAAAAAAGUGCAAGUUAUAAUGGUUGAAGUCUCAUAGAAUUGGGUAUUUUCUAGUCCACUAUGUGCUUACUUGUUAUUCUUUGUCUUUUUUGAUCCAUCUUGUCAUGAAAUUUUGUUCUUUACAUUCUUUGGUCGAGAACAUUAUAACUAGGAUCAUAGAGCGACCCCCCGUCAGGGUGGAACACCCGCUGAAUUUAA
This 633-nucleotide ribosomal RNA is filed under the name Althenia bilocularis. RNAcentral's name for it is "eukaryotic LSU rRNA". The stretch from base 166 to 321 matches the Rfam family "5.8S ribosomal RNA". Lineage: Eukaryota; Viridiplantae; Streptophyta; Magnoliopsida; Alismatales; Potamogetonaceae. The record is from RNAcentral.